UUUAUGGUGAGACCCAUGUGACAAAGAUCUAAAGCCUCCUUUCAGCAGCCCUUGAGUGAGCCACCUCGGAAUUGGAUCCCUCAGUCCCAGUCACAUCUGCAAACCUGGAAAACACCUUCACUACAACCUCAUGAAAGACCAUGAGACAGAACGGCCCAGGAUGAAAUGGAUGGAUCACCCGAAGGGAUACCAUUUGAGUUCUGGGAGAGCUGCCUGCCGACUUCACAAAGACGUAUUCCUCUCAUUAAUGACUGUUAGUGUAGCAUCAUGCAAUGCUCCUGAGAAACUGCAGAAAUAGUAAUGACCAUGUGAUGGCCAAGGCUGAUUGGAAGAUGCUCCUGGGGAGAGAUGAAGUUUGGAUUUACAGCAUCAGCAUGAAGGAGUUGCAAGCAUUGGUGUUGUAAACCGCACUGGCACCUGACACUAAAUGUGGGAAAGGGAUGGGGUUCCAGAAAUAAAGCAAAAAUACCAGGCAAUGGAUGCACAGUGACUGAGUUUUGGGAGAGGCAUAAAUGCCAAGGAGAAUGGGUUGUAGGUU
RNAcentral lists this long non-coding RNA (538 nucleotides) under Homo sapiens (human). Its description in RNAcentral is "HSALNT0213360". The record is from RNAcentral. Lineage: Eukaryota; Metazoa; Chordata; Mammalia; Primates; Hominidae.